CUCAGGAUACUGGAGCUGGUCUAUACAGUGGUUAGGUACUAAGAGCUGUUGUGUUUUAUGAGGCAUCUUUUUCUUCUUGUCUUUCACAUUAUAUUUCUUGAGUUUUGGUAUGCUUGUCUUGUUUCUCGCGUCGCUGGCAAGAGGACGGAGGUCUUGACAAUUCUUCAAAAUUGUGCUGUAAGUGAUGAAAAUUCAAAUUUUAUUUUAAUGAUUUUGCAUAUUUACUGAUUGUAGCAAACCUACGAAUACUUGCUCUCUUGCUUACGCUAGCAGGUACUCUGUAUAGCUUGUUGCGUGUUUUACAGUCUGUGAGUGACAAAAAGAGGGAGAGUACAUAUGAAGAAGAGAAAUAGAGCGGCAGAGGAAGAGAGUGCGUAUGAAAUUUUACCUCAUUAUUUAUUAUCUGUGUUGUAUACUUCUCAUUUAUUCUUUCAAUUGUUGCAAUAUUUGCAUCUUCAGUAUGAUGAAAUGUUCCCUUCACUAUUUAGUUAUCAUCCUGAUAUAUUUCCUCC
RNAcentral lists this long non-coding RNA (512 nucleotides) under Carica papaya (papaya). RNAcentral describes it as "long non-coding RNA (CPAP_LNC002537)". Lineage: Eukaryota; Viridiplantae; Streptophyta; Magnoliopsida; Brassicales; Caricaceae. The record is from RNAcentral.